This 512-nucleotide ribosomal RNA is filed under the name uncultured bacterium. RNAcentral's name for it is "bacterial SSU rRNA". It matches the Rfam family "Bacterial small subunit ribosomal RNA", at positions 29 to 517 of the family's 1533-position model. The record is from RNAcentral.
AACGAACGCUGGCGGCGUGCCUAACACAUGCAAGUCGUGCGAGAAAGUUCCUUCGGGAGCGAGUAAAGCGGCGCACGGGUGAGUAACACGUAGGUAACCUGCCCCCCAGUCUGGAACAACUAGAGGAAACUCUAGCUAAUGCCGGAUGAGACCACGAUCCCUUCGGGGGUUGCGGCCAAAGAUGGCCUCUACUUGUAAGCUAUCGCUGAGGGAUGGGCCUGCGGGCCAUUAGCUUGUUGGUGAGGUAACGGCUCACCAAGGCUGUGAUGGCUAGCUGGUCUGAGAGGACGACCAGCCACACUGGGACUGAGACACGGCCCAGACUCCUACGGGAGGCAGCAGUGGGGAAUAUUGCGCAAUGGGCGAAAGCCUGACGCAGCGACGCCGCGUGGGUGACGAAGGCUUUCGGGUCGUAAAGCCCUGUCGGAAGGGACGAAAACGGUAUGGCGUAACAUCCAUGCCGCUUGACGGUACCUUUAAGGAAGCACCGGCUAACUACGUGCCAGCAGCCG